GCUAAGAAUCUUCCGCAAUGGGGGAAACCCUGACGGAGCGACGCCGCGUGGACGAUGAAGGCCGUAAGGUUGUAAAGUCCUUUUGCGGGCGAAGAAUAACCCGGGGAGUGGAAAGCCUCGGGGAUGACGUUAGCCCGCGAAUAAGCCCCGGCCAAUUACGUGCCAGCAGCCGCGGUAAUACGUAUGGGGCGAGCGUUGUUCGGAGUUAUUGGGCGUAAAGGGCGUGUAGGCGGCCCGACAAGUCUGGUGUGAAAUCGCAGGGCUCAACCCUGCGGGUGCGCUGGAAACUGUCGGGCUGGAGUCCCGAGGGGGAAGCUGGAAUUCCUGGUGUAGGAGUGAAAUCUGUAGAGAUCAGGAAGAACACCGGUGGCGAAGGCGAGCUUCUAUUCGAGGACUGACGCUGAGGCGCGAAAGCGUGGGGAGCAAACAGGAUUAGAAACCCUAGUAGUCC
This 451-nucleotide ribosomal RNA is filed under the name uncultured bacterium. RNAcentral's name for it is "bacterial SSU rRNA". It matches the Rfam family "Bacterial small subunit ribosomal RNA", at positions 354 to 796 of the family's 1533-position model. The record is from RNAcentral.